UUAGUACUAUAUGAGUACUGUAUUAGUACUAUAUGUCCACUGUAAUACUACUAUAUGACUACUGUAUUAGUACUAUAUGACUCCUGUAUUAGUACUAUAUGACUCCUGUAUUAGUACUAUAUGACCACUGUAUUAGUACUAUAUGACCACUGUAUUAAUACUAUAUGACUACUGUAUUAGUACUAUAUGACCACUGUAUUUGUACUAUAUGACUACUGUAAUACUACUCUGACUACUGUAUUAGUACUAUAUGACUACUGUAAUAGUACUAUAUGACUACUGUAUUAGUACUAUAUGACUACUGUAUUAGUACUAUAUGACUACUGUAAUAAUACUCUGACUACUGUAUUAGUACUAUAUGACUACUGUAUUAGUACUAUAUGACUACUGUAAUACUACUCUGACUACUGUAUUAGUACUAUAUGACUACUGUAAUAGUACUCUGACUACUGUAUUAGUACUAUAUGACUACUGUAAUAGUACUCUGACUACUGUAUUAGUACUAUAUGACUACUGUAUUAGUACUAUAUGACUACUGUAAUAGUACUCUGACUACUGUAUUAGUACUAUAUGACUACUGUAAUAGUACUCUGACUACUGUAUUAGUACUAUAUGACUACUGUAUUAGUACUAUAUGACUACUGUAAUACUACUCUGACUACUGUAUUAGUACUAUAUGACUACUGUAUUAGUACUAUAUGACUACUGUAAUACUACUCUGACUACUGUAUUCAUUUCUUACUACUACUAUGAUGCCUGAUUUUAUCUUGGGUUGCGUCUCCAAUGGCACUCUUAUCUACAUUGUGCACUACUAUUGACCAGAGCCCUGUGGACCUUGGUCAAACACAGUGCACUGCAUAGCCUAGGGAAUAGGGUGCCAUUUGGGAAGCACUUUGCUUUGUACAAAAUGGGCUGAAAGCUGUUUAUGCUGUUGGCCCAAGCACAUGGAUCUCCACUUAGCUUGUUAGAAGAAGAUAAUAGCCAUGAUCAAUGUGUUGCCAACAGAUUGGUAAUUCCUCACGAAUGCACUGACAUUUCUUGCAAUUACUUUUUGAAAAGCCAGUGUUACAAUGUUCGUCAUCUAUUGUUGUUUAACUACAUAGCGAAUUUUCUGUUGAAAGUGGAAAGAAGAACUGAAUUUGAGCUGUGAAGUGAUAAUUGGCAGCUUUAUGCUUGAAGAUCAGUCCCUGCAGGAUUCUGUACUUCUGCGAUCUGAAAUUUGAAAGAAAUCAUCGCAUAUGCAAAAUGUCAGAAAUCAAAAUCAAGAAUUUUUGCCCACAAAAUAACAGAAAAAGUCCCUGUGAAAUCCUGAAGGGACUGGUAGAUGCUCCGUGAAAGACAUUUGUAUAUGAUAUAGCCUGGUGCUUUUGGCCAGGCUCUAUUCAAUUACUAAGGUUAGCUUGGAUUUGGAUUUGCACAAUACUUGUAGCUUUCACCAAAUUCCCAGGUUUUCCAGAAAUCCCGGUUUGAAGGAUUCCUGAUUCCCUGCUGAUUCUAGGAAUCUUCCAAAUCAAAUCAAAAGGUAUUUGUCACAUGCUCGGUAAACAACAAGUGUAGACUGCCAGUGAAAUGCUUGGUAAACAACAGGUGUAGACUGCCAGUGAAAUGCUCGGUAAACAACAAGUGUAGACUGCCAGUGAAAUGCUUGGUAAACAACAGGUGUAGACUGCCAGUGAAAUGCUUGGUAAACAACAGGUGUAGACUGCCAGUGAAAUGCUUGGUAAACAACAGGUGUAGACUGCCAGUGAAAUGCUUGGUAAACAACAGGUGUAGACUGCCAGUGAAAUGCUUGGUAAACAACAGGUGUAGACUGCCAGUGAAAUGCUUGGUAAACAACAGGUGUAGACUGCCAGUGAAAUGCUUGGUAAACAACAGGUGUAGACUGCCAGUGAAAUGCUUGGUAAACAACAGGUGUAGACUGCCAGUGAAAUGCUUGGUAAACAACAGGUGUAGACUGCCAGUGAAAUGCUUGGUAAACAACAGGUGUAGACUGCCAGUGAAAUGCUUGGUAAACAACAGGUGUAGACUGCCAGUGAAAUGCUUGGUAAACAACAGGUGUAGACUGCCAGUGAAAUGCUUGGUAAACAACAGGUGUAGACUGCCAGUGAAAUGCUUGGUAAACAACAGGUGUAGACUGCCAGUGAAAUGCUUGGUAAACAACAGGUGUAGACUGCCAGUGAAAUGCUGACUGACGGGUCCUUCAGAACAAUGUAGAGAAAAAAUAGAAAAAUAAUAAAUAAACAAAUAAUAAAUGAGUAACAACUUGGCAGUAUACACUGGGUACCAGGUAAUAACAUGGUUAUAUACACUGGGUACCAGGUAAUAACAUGGUUAUAUACACUGGGUACCAGGUAAUAACAUGGUUAUAUACACUGGGUACCAGGUAAUAACAUGGUUAUAUACACUGGGUACCAGGUAAUAACAUGGUUAUAUACACUGGGUACCAGGUAAUAACAUGGUUAUAUACACUGGGUACCAGGUAAUAACAUGGUUAUAUACACUGGGUACCAGGUAAUAACAUGGUUAUAUACACUGGGUACCAGGUAAUAACAUGGUUAUAUACACUGGGUACCAGGUAAUAACAUGGUUAUAUACACUGGGUACCAGGUAAUAACAUGGUUAUAUACACUGGGUACCAGGUAAUAACAUGGUUAUACACACUGGGUACCAGGUAAUAACAUGGUUAUACACACUGGGUACCAGGUAAUAACAUGGUUAUACACACUGGGUACCAGGUAAUAACAUGGUUAUAUACACUGGAUACCAGGUAAUAACAUGGUUAUAUACACAGGGUACCAGGUAAUAACAUGGUUAUAUUCACAGGGUACCAGUACUGAGUCGAUGUGCAGGGGUAUGAGGUAAUAACAUGGUUAUAUACACAGGGUACCAGUACUGAGUAGAUGUAGAGGGGUAUGAGGUCAUAACAUGGUUAUAUACACAGGGUACCAGUACUGAGUUAUUGUACAGGGGUAUGAGGUCAUAACAUGGUUAUAUACACAGGGUACCAGUACUGAGUUAUUGUACAGGGGUAUGAGGUCAUAACAUGGUUAUAUACACAGGGUACCAGUACUGAGUUAUUGUACAGGGGUAUGAGGUCAUAACAUGGUUAUAUACACAGGGUACCAGUACUGAGUAGAUGUGCAGGGGUAUGAGGUAAUAACAUGGUUAUAUACACAGGGUACCAGUACUGAGUGGAUGUACAGGGGUAUGAGGUCAUACCAUGGUUAUAUACACAGGGUACCAGUACUGAGUGGAUGUACAGGGGUAUGAGGUAAUAACAUGGUUAUAUACACAUGGUACCAGUACUGAGUAGAUGUACAGGGGUAUGAGGUAAUAACAUGGUUAUAUACACAUGGUACCAGUACGGAGUAGAUGUGCAGGGGUAUGAGGUAAUAACAUGGUUAUAUACACAGGGUACUAGUACUGAGUCGAUGUGCAGGGGUAUGAGGUAAUAACAUGGUUAUAUACACAGGGUACCAGUACUGAGUCGAUGUGCAGGUGUAUGAGGUAAUAACAUGGUUAUAUACACUGGGUACCAGUAUUGAGUCAAUGUGCAGGGGUAUGAGGUAAUAACAUGGUUAUAUACACAGGGUACCAGUACUGAGUAGCUGUAGAAGGGUACGAGGUAAUAACAUGGUUAUAUACACAGGGUACCAGUACUGAGUAGAUGUAGAAGGGUACGAGGUAAUAACAUGGUUAUAUACACAGGGUACCAGUACUGAGUAGAUGUAGAGGGGUAUGAGGUAAUAACAUGGUUAUAUACACAGGGUACUAGUACUGAGUAGAUGUACAGGGGUAUGAGGUAAUAACAUGAUUAUAUACACGGGGUACCAGUACUGAGUAGAUGUAGAGGGGUAUGAGGUAAUAACAUGGUUAUAUACACAGGGUACCAGUACUGAUGACAUACUACAUGCAGACACAGUAACAUGGUUAUAUACACAGGGCACCAGUACUGAUGAAAUACUACAUGCAGACACAGUAACAUGGUUAUAUACACAGGGCACCAGUACUGAUGAAAUACUACAUGCAGACACAGUAACAUGGUUAUAUACACAGGGCACCAGUACUGAUGAAAUACUACAUGCAGACACAGUAACAUGGUUAUAUACACAGGGCACCAGUACUGAUGAAAUACUACAUGCAGACACAGUAACGUGGUUAUAUACACAGGGCACCAGUACUGAUGAAAUACUACAUGCAGACACAGUAACAUGGUUAUAUACACAGGGCACCAGUACUGAUGAAAUACUACAUGCAGACACAGUAACAUGGUUAUAUACACAGGGCACCAGUACUGAUGAAAUACUACAUGCAGACACAGUAACAUGGUUAUAUACACAGGGCACCAGUACUGAUGAAAUACUACAUGCAGACACAGUAACAUGGUUAUAUACACAGGGCACCAGUACUGAUGAAAUACUACAUGCAGACACAGUAACAUGGUUAUAUACACAUGGUACCAGUACUGAGUAGAUGUACAGGGGUAUGAGGUAAUAACAUGGUUAUAUACACAGGGCACCAGUACUGAUGAAAUACUACAUGCAGACACAAUAACAUGAAGUUACAGAUCAGGUGACCGGAGAGAGACGGCCUCCCAAGUAACACUCUACUUCCUAUAUAGUGCUCUACGUUUGACCAGAGCGUGGGCUCUGUGCAGGGAAUAGGAUGUCCUGGCCCCAUUCGGCUCUGUGUAGGGAAUAGGAUGUCCUGGGCCCAUUCGGCUCUGGUCAAGGGUAUUGCUCUGUGUCGGGAAUAGGAUGUCCUGGGCCCAUUCGGCUCUGGUCAAGGGUAUUGCUCUGUGCAGGGAAUAGGAUGUCCUGGGCCCAUUCGGCUCUGGUCAAGGGUAUUGCUCUGUGUAGGGAAUAGGAUGUCCUGGGCCCAUUCGGCUCUGGUCAAGGGUAUUGCUCUGUGUAGGGAAUAGGAUGUCCUGGGCCCAUUCGGCUCUGUGUAGGGAAUAGGAUGUCCUGGGCCCAUUCGGCUCUGGUCAAGGGUAUUGCUCUGUGUAGGGAAUAGGAUGUCCUGGCCCCAUUCGGCUCUGUGUAGGGAAUAGGAUGUCCUGGGCCCAUUCGGCUCUGGUCAAGGGUAUUGCUCUGUGUCGGGAAUAGGAUGUCCUGGGCCCAUUCGGCUCUGGUCAAGGGUAUUGCUCUGUGUAGGGAAUAGGAUGUCCUGGGCCCAUUCGGCUCUGGUCAAGGGUAUUGCUCUGUGUAGGGAAUAGGAUGUCCUGGGCCCAUUCGGCUCUGGUCAAGGGUAUUGCUCUGUGUCGGGAAUAGGAUGUCCUGGGCCCAUUCGGCUCUGGUCAAGGGUAUUGCUCUGUGUAGGGAAUAGGAUGUCCUGGGCCCAUUCGGCUCUGGUCAAGGGUAUUGCUCUGUGCAGGGAAUAGGAUGUCCUGGCCCCAUUCGGCUCUGGUCAAGGGUAUUGCUCUGUGUAGGGAAUAGGGUGCAUUUGGGAAGUACACAGAGAGAUUAGUUGAAUAACUCAACGCCUUGCAGCUCUAACAGAUUGGAUGCUUUUUUUUUUUUACAUACUGUAUUUAUGCUCUUUCAGGCUUCUGGAAAUGUGUUUUGUUCCUUCCUAUGUGCAUUGAUGAUGAUGAUGAUGAUGAUGAUGAUGAUGAUGAUGAUGAUGAUGAUGAUGAUGAUGAUGAUGAUGAUGAUGAAGCAAAUCUUAAUGAACAAAUCGUUUUUAUGCUUUUGGAGUAAAAAUGUCUCAAUCUUUCUCCUCGCAGUUUUUAGUUAAGUAUCUGUUCUGGAGAAACAGAGCAGUUCUGUAGCUAAAUAAAACGGAUAAAUCUUAUUUUUCAACCUUUUAUUUAUUUUAAAUGAAUAAAGGACACAAAGGUGAUUUAAAAUGAUCAUUGAAUAACCGACAUUUUAAAAUCCACAGUCUCUCUAGUUAAUAAUAAACCAACU
Long non-coding RNA from Oncorhynchus keta (chum salmon), 5909 nucleotides. RefSeq lists it as uncharacterized. The record is from RefSeq and is a predicted model, not a curated record. NCBI's taxonomy places the organism in Eukaryota, Metazoa, Chordata, Actinopteri, Salmoniformes, Salmonidae. The transcript is spliced from 6 exons.